Molecule: transfer RNA, 93 nt
Filed under: Deltaproteobacteria bacterium
Lineage: Bacteria; Pseudomonadati; Myxococcota; Myxococcia
Also listed under: 1 other name
Description: tRNA-Ser
Rfam family: tRNA
About the family: Transfer RNA (tRNA) molecules are approximately 80 nucleotides in length. Their secondary structure includes four short double-helical elements and three loops (D, anti-codon, and T loops). Further hydrogen bonds mediate the characteristic L-shaped molecular structure. tRNAs have two regions of fundamental functional importance: the anti-codon, which is responsible for specific mRNA codon recognition, and the 3' end, to which the tRNAs corresponding amino acid is attached (by aminoacyl-tRNA synthetases). tRNAs cope with the degeneracy of the genetic code in two manners: having more than one tRNA (with a specific anti-codon) for a particular amino acid; and 'wobble' base-pairing, i.e. permitting non-standard base-pairing at the 3rd anti-codon position.
Source: RNAcentral
GGAGAGAUGACCGAGUGGCUGAAGGUGCUCGCCUGCUAAGCGAGUGUAGAGCUAAUAACUCUACCGAGGGUUCGAAUCCCUCUCUCUCCGCCA